UACGUAGGGUGCAAGCGUUGUCCGGAAUUAUUGGGCGUAAAGAGCUCGUAGGCGGCCUGUUACGUCUGCUGUGAAAUCCCGGGGCUUAACCCCGGGCGUGCAGUGGAUACGGGCAGGCUGGAGGCAGGCAGGGGAGAACGGAAUUCCCGGUGUAGCGGUGAAAUGCGCAGAGUAUCGGGAGGAACACCGGUGGCGAAGGCGGUUCUCUGGGCCUGUACUGACGCUGAGGAGCGAAAGCGUGGGGAGCGAACAGG
Molecule: ribosomal RNA, 254 nt
Filed under: uncultured bacterium
Lineage: Bacteria
Description: partial 16S ribosomal RNA
Rfam family: Bacterial small subunit ribosomal RNA
Source: RNAcentral